UUUUCAUCUUUCAGCUUCCUCGGCCCCAGGAGAGUUGGGUACCUGCUCAGCGGGGGCAUUUUCUCUAUACAAGAAGAAGAAGGAGACUCGCUACCCACCCGAUAUAUUUUGUCGGACAGUUUUCUGUACAUAACAGUCACAACUGUAUCCAGGUCACAUCAAAGGAAUGACAGUUUCUCACUCCCUGGAAUUCUACUUAAUGGAGGAGGGUGUCAUUCAUUAAGAUUGUCACAGCUUCCAAGACACUGAAGUGACAGGCCUAAAAUUUUAUACAUAUUCAUUGCUUCCUCGGCCCCAGGAGAGUUGGGUACCUGCUCAGCGGGGGCAUUUUCUCUAUACAAGAAGAAGAAGGAGACUCGCUACCCACCCGAUAUAUUUUGUCGGACAGUUUUCUGUACAUAACAGUCACAACUGUAUCCAGGUCACAUCAAAGGAAUGGCAGUUUCUCACUCCCUGGAAUUCUACUUAAUGGAGGAGGGUGUCAUUCAUUAAGAUUGUCACAGCUUCCAAGACACUGAAGUGACAGGCCUAAAAUUUUAUACAUAU
This is a long non-coding RNA of Saccostrea cuccullata (small rock oyster), 546 nucleotides long. RefSeq lists it as uncharacterized. The record is from RefSeq and is a predicted model, not a curated record. Lineage: Eukaryota; Metazoa; Mollusca; Bivalvia; Ostreida; Ostreidae. The transcript is spliced from 4 exons.